CUAAUACUAGUCUUGUAAUUGGAAUGAGUACAAUUUAAAUCCCUUAACGAGGAUCAAUUGGAGGGCAAGUCUGGUGCCAGCAGCCGCGGUAAUUCCAGCUCCAAUAGCGUAUAUUAAUGUUGUUGCAGUUAAAAAGCUCGUAGUCGGAUUUCAAUGCGGGUUGACCGGUCUGCCGAUUGGUAUGCACUGGCCGAGCCGUAUUUCCUCCCGGAGACCUCGUCUACUCUUAACUGAGGCGGACGGGGGAAACGGGAUUUUUACUUUGAGGAAAUCAGAGUGUUCAAAGCAGGCUUUUGUAUGUAUGUGUUAGCAUGGGAUAAUAAAAUAGGACUUGGGUGCUAUUUUGUUGGUUUCGAACACCUAAGUAAUGAUUAAUAGGGAUAGUCAGGGGCACUCGUAUUCCACCGAGAGAGGUGAAAUUCUUAGACCAGUGGAGGACGAACUUCUGCGAAAGCAUUUGCCAGGGAUGUUUUCACUGAUCAAGAACGAAAGUUAGGGGAUCGAAGACGAUCAGAUACCGUCGUAGUCUUAACCAUAAACCAUGCCGACUAGGGAUUGGGGGAUGUUAUUUUUACGACUCCUUCAGCACCUUACGAGAAAUCAAAGUCUUUGGGUUCCGGGGGGAGUAUGGUCGCAAGGCUGAAACUUAAAGGAAUUGACGGAAGGGCACCACCAGGAGUGGAGCCUGCGGCUUAAUUUGACUCAACACGGGGAAACUUACCAGGUCCAGACAUAGUAAGGAUUGACAGAUUAAGAGCUCUUUCUUGAUUCUAUGGGU
This 778-nucleotide ribosomal RNA is filed under the name uncultured marine eukaryote. RNAcentral's name for it is "SSU rRNA". It matches the Rfam family "Eukaryotic small subunit ribosomal RNA", at positions 491 to 1275 of the family's 1831-position model. The record is from RNAcentral.